AACUGCACCUAUGUCCUGAAGGCCUCCAUGUCUGCUCUGCAGCUAGGGAGAUGAAGACUUCUGAGACAAGCUGUGCUACACAUGCAGAAUGUUGGACAAACAUUAAACCUAGACCAUUCUUGAAGAUCUUCAGAAAUUUGUUGCACAGCCAGAUGCCUUCUGGAUGACCUCUCAUGGAGCAGCAUCAAUAUAUCGAUGCCUGAUAGAAUGGUAAAUUUAGCCUACCACAUUUCAGUUUACUGUACUUUUUCUACUGUUUGUCUUUAUAGGAAUGCUGAGUCUGGUCAUGAGAAUAAUUGCUAAGAUAGUGUAGAACCAUGGCUAAUAAUAAAGAUUUGAUUCUGCAUCUCUGUGCA
Molecule: long non-coding RNA, 356 nt
Filed under: Coturnix japonica (Japanese quail)
Lineage: Eukaryota; Metazoa; Chordata; Aves; Galliformes; Phasianidae
Description: lncRNA (ENSCJPG00005000398.1)
Source: RNAcentral